RNAcentral lists this ribosomal RNA (256 nucleotides) under uncultured bacterium. RNAcentral describes it as "partial 16S ribosomal RNA". The record is from RNAcentral.
CUGCUGCCUCCCGUAGGAGUCUGGGCCGUAUCUCAGUCCCAAUGUGGCCGGCCAACCUCUCAGUCCGGCUACUGAUCGUCGCCUUGGUGGGCCGUUACCCCACCAACUAGCUAAUCAGACGCGAGGCCAUCUUUCGGCGAUAAAUCUUUGACAUUCAGACCAUGCGGCCCAAAUGUAUCAUGCGGUAUUAGCAGUCGUUUCCAACUGUUGUCCCCCUCCGAAAGGCAGGUUCCUCACGCGUUACUCACCAGUCCCG